Molecule: long non-coding RNA, 315 nt
Organism: Mya arenaria
Lineage: Eukaryota; Metazoa; Mollusca; Bivalvia; Myida; Myidae
Exons: 3
Source: RefSeq, a predicted model, not a curated record
AUUUAUCCGGAUUUUGUUCAUCCGAAACUAAAUCACUAGUAUCAACAUCCGGUGUAAUUUUUGCUUGUAUUUUGGAGAAACUCGAUUGAUUUCUAGCAAACUUGGUUUACCACUACAUCGUCGCUUAUUAUUAUUUGAUACACUGUGUUUUGUGUGGAUAAGAAAUGCAGAGUGGUACCACCAAUCACCUAAGCCACCAUUCCCCUAACAGACAAUAGGCUCAUGGGGACAGUUCCUGCAAUUUACAGAAAAGCUCUCAAUUGUAGCCCUACGAACUUCAGAUACUGCUGAUGGUGAAGCUUGGGUGCACCGGGC